Molecule: ribosomal RNA, 409 nt
Filed under: bacterium
Lineage: Bacteria
Description: partial 16S ribosomal RNA
Rfam family: Bacterial small subunit ribosomal RNA
Source: RNAcentral
UGGGGAAUAUUGCACAAUGGGCGAAAGCCUGAUGCAGCGACGCCGCAUGAGGGAUGACGGCCUUCGGGUUGUAAACCUCUUUCAGCAGGGACGAAGCGCAAGUGACGGUACCUGCAGAAGAAGCACCGGCUAACUACGUGCCAGCAGCCGCGGUAAUACGUAGGGUGCAAGCGUUGUCCGGAAUUACUGGGCGUAAAGAGUUCGUAGGCGGUUUGUCGCGUCGUUUGUGAAAACCAGCAGCUCAACUGCUGGCUUGCAGGCGAUACGGGCAGACUUGAGUACUGCAGGGGAGACUUGAAUUCCUGGUGUAGCGGUGAACUGCGCAGAUAUCAGGAGGAACACCGGUGGCGAAGGCGGGUCUCUGGGCAGUAACUGACGCUGAGGAACGAAAGCGUGGGUAGCGAACAGG